Triticum aestivum (bread wheat) is the source of this 1446-nucleotide long non-coding RNA. RefSeq lists it as uncharacterized. NCBI's taxonomy places the organism in Eukaryota, Viridiplantae, Streptophyta, Magnoliopsida, Poales, Poaceae. The transcript is spliced from 2 exons. The record is from RefSeq and is a predicted model, not a curated record.
CGAACUGCACGGUGACAAAAACCUACCACUACCAUCUACGCCCGCUCGUACCCACCCGACCCACAACCCACCUCCCCUCCCACCUUCUUCCUCCUGCGGUUGCCAGAGCCCCGCAUCGCCCUGCCUUCCUCUGCGCCGCCGCGCCGACCACCCGGCGCCGCCCCGAUCCGCCGAGCCACCGCAGCCACCUCCGCCUUGCCUUGAAGCCGCCGCCGCCACUGCCAGGGCCCCACGCCACCAGCUAGCCACGGCCGCGCCUCCUCUCCAUACGGCCUCCGAGCCUCUCCUUCCCCACCCCACAUUGCCGCCAUGCCCCAAGCCACGCCCGACGGCUGCCGUGCAUCCCCUCCCCCACCACAUCGUGUCGUCACCCCCACACCACACCUAGGCCACCACCUCGCAGCCACCACCGCACCUCCACCCUCCCCCGCGGCACCACCGCACCACUCGCGGCAUCGGAUCCGGCGGGAUCCGCACCGCCCGCGCUCAUCUCGGUGGACAGCGGCUCAUCUCGGUGGAGUUCAACGACGGAGGGCAAAGGCCCAUGGUGGUCUCGAGCCUCCACCAGUCCCCACGGUGGAGGGCCAUCGCGGCAGCUCUUCUCCUGGGCCCCCUUCUCCCCCCAUGACGGCGACGACCUCUCCAGCUCCGACUCCUCCAUCUCCAUCAACACCUACUACUCCGCCGCUCCAACCUACCCCUACGGCAAGUCGCCUGGUCCACCAAGCCUACCUCUUGUCGCGGCGGCCCGGGAAAUCACCGGAUCCCGGCGAGAUCCGACGGUGGACUUCUUCUCGGGUGUGCAGUUCGGCCCCCAGCGGUGAUGCAGUGCAGCUCCAGAUACGCUGGAGAUCCAUGGCGUCGCUCCGAGCACAGCCGAAGACCGUCGUGGAGUUCGCCGGCGACGCCCCCUCCACAACUCACGGUGUCCAAGCUGGGUCCACUAGCCGACGCCUCUCGCCCCCCUCUGCAUCUUCAUUCACGAGAGGGAUCCUCCUCGAUCCGUGUUCGCGCCUCCAUGGUUGUGCGCGUGCUUGCAGUACACUGACAUGAGGAGGGCGACGACACGCAUAGGUGAUAUGCAGUAUGCCAGCACACCGAUUACUUGCAGUUUUAUCUCUGAAUUAAUCCCUAAACUAACAUGCUUGAAGUUCAGUCCCUGUUUUUUUGUGAUUCAGCUUUGUUGUGGUUAUUGGCAGGAGAGCAUAAACACAGGGAAAAGGGGAGAAGGAAGAACUUCGUCGGUUUAGUUCUCUGCCCAGUGCAGCUUAGUUUUGUUGUUCAUUGAUUUAGCAGGAGAGUGUAAGCAGUUCUCUGCCCAGUGCCGUUCUGUUGGGUCAUAUAUUUUGUUGUGCACUUGAUGGCGCGUGGUUGUUUUUAUUUUUGAUAUUUUUUUGGACUAAUAAAGGGACUCCAAUACAUCACCCCGUGCGUGUGGUUAGAUUU